Molecule: transfer RNA, 74 nt
Filed under: Actinomycetota bacterium
Lineage: Bacteria; Bacillati; Actinomycetota
Description: tRNA-Met
Rfam family: tRNA
About the family: Transfer RNA (tRNA) molecules are approximately 80 nucleotides in length. Their secondary structure includes four short double-helical elements and three loops (D, anti-codon, and T loops).
Source: RNAcentral
AGCGCCGUGGAGCAGCUCGGAAGCUCACUGGGCUCAUAACCCAGAGGCCGUCAGUUCAAAUCUGACCGGCGCCA